Molecule: ribosomal RNA, 303 nt
Filed under: uncultured bacterium
Lineage: Bacteria
Description: partial 16S ribosomal RNA
Rfam family: Bacterial small subunit ribosomal RNA
Source: RNAcentral
AGCAGUAGCCACGGUAAUACGAAGGGGGCUAGCGUUGUUCGGAUUUACUGGGCGUAAAGCGCACGUAGGCGGAUCGAUCAGUCAGGGGUGAAAUCCCAGAGCUCAACUCUGGAACUGCCGUUGAUACUGUCGAUCUGGAGUAUGGAAGAGGUAAGUGGAAUUCCGAGUGUAGAGGUGAAAUUCGUAGAUAUUCGGAGGAACACCAGUGGCGAAGGCGGCUUACUGGUCCAUUACUGACGCUGAGGUGCGAAAGCGUGGGGAGCAAACAGGAUUAGAUACCCGUGUAGUCCCUGUCUCUUAUAC